GACGAACGCUGGCGGCGUGCUUAACACAUGCAAGUCGAACGGUAAGGCCCUUCGGGGUACACGAGUGGCGAACGGGUGAGUAACACGUGGGUGAUCUGCCCUGCACUUCGGGAUAAGCCUGGGAAACUGGGUCUAAUACCGGAUAGGACUCCGGACUGCAUGGUCUGGGGUGGAAAGCUUUUGCGGUGUGGGAUGGGCCCGCGGCCUAUCAGCUUGUUGGUGGGGUGAUGGCCUACCAAGGCGACGACGGGUAGCCGGCCUGAGAGGGUGACCGGCCACACUGGGACUGAGAGACGGCCCAGACUCCUACGGGAGGCAGCAGUGGGGAAUAUUGCACAAUGGGCGCAAGCCUGAUGCAGCGACGCCGCGUGAGGGAUGACGGCCUUCGGGUUGUAAACCUCUUUCAGCAUCGACGAAGCGAAAGUGACGGUAGGUGCAGAAGAGGGACCGGCCAACUACGUGCCAGCCGCCGCGGUAA
RNAcentral lists this ribosomal RNA (478 nucleotides) under uncultured bacterium. RNAcentral's name for it is "partial 16S ribosomal RNA". It matches the Rfam family "Bacterial small subunit ribosomal RNA", at positions 28 to 523 of the family's 1533-position model. The record is from RNAcentral.